This 216-nucleotide ribosomal RNA is filed under the name Campeiostachys nutans. RNAcentral's name for it is "Elymus nutans partial small subunit ribosomal RNA". The stretch from base 38 to 216 matches the Rfam family "Eukaryotic small subunit ribosomal RNA", at positions 684 to 864 of the family's 1831-position model. Lineage: Eukaryota; Viridiplantae; Streptophyta; Magnoliopsida; Poales; Poaceae. The record is from RNAcentral.
GGGUCAAUUAAAUGGUCGUGCCUCUGGUACGUACUGAUUUUAUUGGUUUCUCCCUUCUGACGAACCAUGAUGUCAUUAAUUUGGUGUCGUGGAGAAUCAGGACUGUUACUUUGAGAAAAUUAGAGUGUUUAAAGCAGGCUCACGCUUGAAUACAUUAGCAUGGAAUAAUGAAAUAGGACGUUUGAUUCUAUUUUGUUGGUUUCUAGGAUCGACGUA